GCUGGGUAUGGUGGUGCAUGCCUGUAAUCCCAGUGACUCAGGAGGCUGAGGCAGGAGGAUAGCAAGUUCAAGGCCAGACUUAGCAUUUGGCUGCAAAUUAGCAAGACACUGUCUCAA
RNAcentral lists this small RNA (117 nucleotides) under Marmota monax (woodchuck). The record is from RNAcentral. Lineage: Eukaryota; Metazoa; Chordata; Mammalia; Rodentia; Sciuridae.